AUGCUUAACACAUGCAAGUCGAACGGAAACAGGAAGUAGCUUGCUAUUUUGCUGUCGAGUGGCGGACGGGUGAGUAAUGCUUGGGAAUAUGCCAAAACGUGGGGGACAACAGUUGGAAACGACUGCUAAUACCGCAUAAUGUCUUCGGACCAAAGCAGGGGACCUUCGGGCCUUGCGCGUUUUGAUUAGCCCAAGUGGGAUUAGCUAGUUGGUAAGGUAAUGGCUUACCAAGGCGACGAUCCCUAGCUGGUCUUAGAGGAUGACCAGCCACACUGGAACUGAGACACGGUCCAGACUCCUACGGGAGGCAGCAGUGGGGAAUAUUGCACAAUGGAGGAAACUCUGAUGCAGCCAUACCGCGUGUAUGAAGAAGGCCUUAGGGUUGUAAAGUACUUUCAGCGAGGAGGAAAGGUGAUAAAUUAAUACUUUAUCACUGUGACGUUACUCGCAGAAGAAGCACCGGCUAACUCCGUGCCAGCAGCCGCGGUAAUACGGAGGGUGCAAGCGUUAAUCGGAAUUACUGGGCGUAAAGCGCAUGCAGGCGGUUUGUUAAGCGAGAUGUGAAAGCCCCGGGCUCAACCUGGGAACUGCAUUUCGAACUGGCAAACUAGAGUUCUUGAGAGGGUGGUAGAAUUUCAGGUGUAGCGGUGAAAUGCGUAGAGAUCGGAAGGAACACCAGUGG
Molecule: ribosomal RNA, 682 nt
Filed under: uncultured bacterium
Lineage: Bacteria
Description: bacterial SSU rRNA
Rfam family: Bacterial small subunit ribosomal RNA
Source: RNAcentral